AGUAAAUAGAUACCCGGGUAGUCCACGCCGUAAACGAUGAGUACUAGGUGUAGGAGGUAUCGACUCCUUCUGUGCCGCAGUUAAACACAAUAAGUACUCCGCCUGGGAAGUACGGUCGCAAGAUUAAAACUCAAAGGAAUUGACGGGGGCCCGCACAAGCAGCGGAGCAUGUGGUUUAAAUUCGAAGCAACGCGAAGAACCUUACCUAGACUUGACAUCUCCUGAAUAGUGUAGAGAUACAUGAAGCCCUUCGGGGCAGGAAGACAGGUGGUGCAUGGUUGUCGUCAGCUCGUGUCGUGAGAUGUUGGGUUAAGUCCCGCAACGAGCGCAACCCUUAUUACUAGUUGCUACCAUUAAGUUGAGCACUCUAGUGAGACUGCCCGGGUUAA
RNAcentral lists this ribosomal RNA (389 nucleotides) under uncultured bacterium. RNAcentral describes it as "bacterial SSU rRNA". It matches the Rfam family "Bacterial small subunit ribosomal RNA", at positions 775 to 1161 of the family's 1533-position model. The record is from RNAcentral.